UUUUUUUUUUUUUUUUUUUUUUUUUCUAGUUUUCACAUUUUUAAAAAACUGAGCUGAAUGUCUACACAUUACUACUAGCACCAGCAACUUCCAUAGCACUAACAAAAAUACGAACCAAAUAUCAUUUUAUUUGU
RNAcentral lists this non-coding RNA (134 nucleotides) under uncultured eukaryote. The record is from RNAcentral.